RNAcentral lists this non-coding RNA (27 nucleotides) under Cricetulus griseus (Chinese hamster). The record is from RNAcentral. Lineage: Eukaryota; Metazoa; Chordata; Mammalia; Rodentia; Cricetidae.
GCACUGCUCUUCUAUGGCACGGACUUC